AGUCGAGCGGAUGACGGGAGCUUGCUCCUUGAUUCAGCGGCGGACGGSUGAGUAAUACCUAGGAAUCUGCCUGAUAGUGGGGGACAACGUUUCGAAAGGAACGCUAAUACCGCAUACGUCCUACGGGAGAAAGCAGGGGACCUUCGGGCCUUGCGCUAUCAGAUGAGCCUAGGUCGGAUUAGCUAGUUGGUGAGGUAAUGGCUCACCAAGGCGACGAUCCGUAACUGGUCUGAGAGGAUGAUCAGUCACACUGGAACUGAGACACGGUCCAGACUCCUACGGGAGGCAGCAGUGGGGAAUAUUGGACAAUGGGCGAAAGCCUGAUCCAGCCAUGCCGCGUGUGUGAAGAAGGUCUUCGGAUUGUAAAGCACUUUAAGUUGGGAGGAAGGGCAGUAAGCUAAUACCUUGCUGUUUUGACGUUACCGACAGAAUAAGCACCGGCUAACUCUGUGCCAGCAGCCGCGGUAAUACAGAGGGUGCAAGCGUUAAUCGGAAUUACUGGGCGUAAAGCGCGCGUAGGUGGUUCGUUAAGUUGGAUGUGAAAUCCCCGGGCUCAACCUGGGAACUGCAUCCA
Molecule: ribosomal RNA, 574 nt
Filed under: Pseudomonas laurentiana
Lineage: Bacteria; Pseudomonadati; Pseudomonadota; Gammaproteobacteria; Pseudomonadales; Pseudomonadaceae
Description: bacterial SSU rRNA
Source: RNAcentral